This 3008-nucleotide ribosomal RNA is filed under the name Salmonella enterica subsp. enterica serovar Anatum str. USDA-ARS-USMARC-1781. RNAcentral's name for it is "bacterial LSU rRNA". It matches the Rfam family "Bacterial large subunit ribosomal RNA". Lineage: Bacteria; Pseudomonadati; Pseudomonadota; Gammaproteobacteria; Enterobacterales; Enterobacteriaceae. The record is from RNAcentral.
GGGUUGUGAGGUUAAGCGACUAAGCGUACACGGUGGAUGCCCUGGCAGUCAGAGGCGAUGAAGGGCGUGCUAAUCUGCGAUAAGCGCCGGUAAGGUGAUAUGAACCGUUAUAACCGGCGAUACCCGAAUGGGGAAACCCAGUGUGACUCGUCACACUAUCAUUAACUGAAUCCAUAGGUUAAUGAGGCGAACCGGGGGAACUGAAACAUCUAAGUACCCCGAGGAAAAGAAAUCAACCGAGAUUCCCCCAGUAGCGGCGAGCGAACGGGGAGGAGCCCAGAGCCUGAAUCAGCAUGUGUGUUAGUGGAAGCGUCUGGAAAGGCGCGCGAUACAGGGUGACAGCCCCGUACACAAAAGCGCAUGUGCUGUGAGCUCGAUGAGUAGGGCGGGACACGUGGUAUCCUGUCUGAAUAUGGGGGGACCAUCCUCCAAGGCUAAAUACUCCUGACUGACCGAUAGUGAACCAGUACCGUGAGGGAAAGGCGAAAAGAACCCCGGCGAGGGGAGUGAAAAAGAACCUGAAACCGUGUACGUACAAGCAGUGGGAGCACAGGUUUACCUGUGUGACUGCGUACCUUUUGUAUAAUGGGUCAGCGACUUAUAUUCUGUAGCAAGGUUAACCGUAUAGGGGAGCCGUAGGGAAACCGAGUCUUAACCGGGCGUUAAGUUGCAGGGUAUAGACCCGAAACCCGGUGAUCUAGCCAUGGGCAGGUUGAAGGUUGGGUAACACUAACUGGAGGACCGAACCGACUAAUGUUGAAAAAUUAGCGGAUGACCUGUGGCUGGGGGUGAAAGGCCAAUCAAACCGGGAGAUAGCUGGUUCUCCCCGAAAGCUAUUUAGGUAGCGCCUCGUGAAUUCAUCUCCGGGGGUAGAGCACUGUUUCGGCUAGGGGGCCAUCCCGGCUUACCAACCCGAUGCAAACUGCGAAUACCGGAGAAUGUUAUCACGGGAGACACACGGCGGGUGCUAACGUCCGUCGUGAAGAGGGAAACAACCCAGACCGCCAGCUAAGGUCCCAAAGUCAUGGUUAAGUGGGAAACGAUGUGGGAAGGCCCAGACAGCCAGGAUGUUGGCUUAGAAGCAGCCAUCAUUUAAAGAAAGCGUAAUAGCUCACUGGUCGAGUCGGCCUGCGCGGAAGAUGUAACGGGGCUAAACCAUGCACCGAAGCUGCGGCAGCGAACGUAUCACUUAAAGCGAUUCAGCGGGUUACGAUUGACGGAGCGAAGCGACGUCAAAGCGUAUACAAAGUCGAGUCGGUUUAAGGAUACGUUCGUUGGGUAGGGGAGCGUUCUGUAAGCCUGUGAAGGUGGCCUGUGAGGGUUGCUGGAGGUAUCAGAAGUGCGAAUGCUGACAUAAGUAACGAUAAAGCGGGUGAAAAGCCCGCUCGCCGGAAGACCAAGGGUUCCUGUCCAACGUUAAUCGGGGCAGGGUGAGUCGACCCCUAAGGCGAGGCCGAAAGGCGUAGUCGAUGGGAAACGGGUUAAUAUUCCCGUACUUGGUGUUACUGCGAAGGGGGGACGGAGAAGGCUAUGUUGGCCGGGCGACGGUUGUCCCGGUUUAAGCGUGUAGGCUGGUUUUCCAGGCAAAUCCGGAAAAUCAAGGCUGAGGCGUGACGACGAGGCACUACGGUGCUGAAGCAACAAAUGCCCUGCUUCCAGGAAAAGCCUCUAAGCAUCAGGUAACAUCAAAUCGUACCCCAAACCGACACAGGUGGUCAGGUAGAGAAUACCAAGGCGCUUGAGAGAACUCGGGUGAAGGAACUAGGCAAAAUGGUGCCGUAACUUCGGGAGAAGGCACGCUGACACGUAGGUGAAGUGAUUUACUCACGGAGCUGAAGUCAGUCGAAGAUACCAGCUGGCUGCAACUGUUUAUUAAAAACACAGCACUGUGCAAACACGAAAGUGGACGUAUACGGUGUGACGCCUGCCCGGUGCCGGAAGGUUAAUUGAUGGGGUCAGCGCAAGCGAAGCUCCUGAUCGAAGCCCCGGUAAACGGCGGCCGUAACUAUAACGGUCCUAAGGUAGCGAAAUUCCUUGUCGGGUAAGUUCCGACCUGCACGAAUGGCGUAAUGAUGGCCAGGCUGUCUCCACCCGAGACUCAGUGAAAUUGAACUCGCUGUGAAGAUGCAGUGUACCCGCGGCAAGACGGAAAGACCCCGUGAACCUUUACUAUAGCUUGACACUGAACAUUGAGCCUUGAUGUGUAGGAUAGGUGGGAGGCUUUGAAGCGUGGACGCCAGUCUGCGUGGAGCCGACCUUGAAAUACCACCCUUUAAUGUUUGAUGUUCUAACGUGGACCCGUGAUCCGGGUUGCGGACAGUGUCUGGUGGGUAGUUUGACUGGGGCGGUCUCCUCCUAAAGAGUAACGGAGGAGCACGAAGGUUGGCUAAUCCUGGUCGGACAUCAGGAGGUUAGUGCAAUGGCAUAAGCCAGCUUGACUGCGAGCGUGACGGCGCGAGCAGGUGCGAAAGCAGGUCAUAGUGAUCCGGUGGUUCUGAAUGGAAGGGCCAUCGCUCAACGGAUAAAAGGUACUCCGGGGAUAACAGGCUGAUACCGCCCAAGAGUUCAUAUCGACGGCGGUGUUUGGCACCUCGAUGUCGGCUCAUCACAUCCUGGGGCUGAAGUAGGUCCCAAGGGUAUGGCUGUUCGCCAUUUAAAGUGGUACGCGAGCUGGGUUUAGAACGUCGUGAGACAGUUCGGUCCCUAUCUGCCGUGGGCGCUGGAGAACUGAGGGGGGCUGCUCCUAGUACGAGAGGACCGGAGUGGACGCAUCACUGGUGUUCGGGUUGUCAUGCCAAUGGCACUGCCCGGUAGCUAAAUGCGGAAGAGAUAAGUGCUGAAAGCAUCUAAGCACGAAACUUGCCCCGAGAUGAGUUCUCCCUGAGACUUAGAGUCUCCUGAAGGAACGUUGAAGACGACGACGUUGAUAGGCCGGGUGUGUAAGCGCAGCGAUGCGUUGAGCUAACCGGUACUAAUGAACCGUGAGGCUUAACCUUACAACGCCGAAG